This 253-nucleotide ribosomal RNA is filed under the name Peptococcus niger. Its description in RNAcentral is "partial 16S ribosomal RNA". It matches the Rfam family "Bacterial small subunit ribosomal RNA", at positions 524 to 776 of the family's 1533-position model. Lineage: Bacteria; Bacillati; Bacillota; Clostridia; Eubacteriales; Peptococcaceae. The record is from RNAcentral. RNAcentral also lists the same sequence under 1 other name.
AACAUAGGGGGCAAGCGUUGUCCGGAAUCACUGGGCGUAAAGGGCGCGCAGGCGGUCUGUUAAGUCAGAUGUGAAAGGUUAGGGCUCAACCCUGAACGUGCAUCUGAUACUGGCAGACUUGAGUAUGGAAGAGGUAAGUGGAAUUCCUAGUGUAGCGGUGAAAUGCGUAGAUAUUAGGAGGAACACCAGUGGCGAAGGCGACUUACUGGGCCAUAACUGACGCUGAGGCGCGAAAGCGUGGGGAGCAAACAGG